This is a non-coding RNA of Punica granatum (pomegranate), 2507 nucleotides long. The record is from RefSeq and is a predicted model, not a curated record. Lineage: Eukaryota; Viridiplantae; Streptophyta; Magnoliopsida; Myrtales; Lythraceae.
GCUUAUGAGGAAUUGAAACUUCGGUGCUUCUUGACGUCAGAGUUAUUGUCAUCGAGACAGCCUCAUGACCCUGUCACGUCCGGUUAUGCUGACGCUGUAAAUCAUUAAUAGAGCUUUCAGCCUUUUGGCUGCUGGGUCGCUUGCUUGUCUCUUAGCGAGGCGCCCGUAAAGCUCAGCCAAAGAAGUUGAAGAGAAUUCCUCACAGGUCAUCAUAGUUUAAAGUUUAAACGGAGAUUAGCUUGGUGGGAAGCGAGACGAGUCCAAUAUAUUAAAUACAUGUGUGGCCUGCAUUUGGGCAUCGACCCAUUCCUUGGUGACCCGGUUUGCCAUCAACUCUGAAGGUGCCAUCUUCCAUUUGUGCCUCCAUUUUGUCUUAUAUCAGAUAUGCAUUUACUCUGUUUUGUUUUAGCCCCACAGCUCGGCGACUGGCUGCACUCGAGCUUCGCAUCUCACUACCUAGGAUAGCACGCCUCGUUCCUCGUUGCUUGCCACUGCAGGUUGAUCGAGCUCGCGAACUUGGAGUCUCGUUGCUUGCUGGAACAUCAUGCCGUAACGACAGCCGCCCUCGAGCUUUGCAUCUCGCUGGCUAGCGACCUCGAGCCUCGCUCCUCACUGCUUGCUGCUGCCGGGUGUCCGAGCUUGCGAACUUGGGGUCUCGUUGCUAGCUGGGACAUCCUGCUGCGACGACAUCCGCCCUCGAGAUUUGCAUCUUGCUGCCUAGCGACCUUGAUCCUCGCCCAUCACUUCAUGCUGCCUCCGAGUGACCUCGAUCUCGCGAUUUCGAGGUUUGUUGAGUUCAGUCACUCGCUGCCCCAAGGAGCCUCUCUACUAUUCGAAAUCCUGAUACUGCUGUGAGUGGCUUUUCUCUCGCCAGGACAAACGGCGACAUGCUCGAUGUCAUUAUUGCUCGACCGCUCUCACCACGAGCGUCUUCGCCUGAGGAGCAGCGAGGACCACAUGCUUCUAUUACUCGGGACGGCUAGUCUUGCCACAGUACAACCCACAUUUUAUUUUCAGUUCUAUCGCAUCUCGCUGGUCGUGCCAUCGUGCUUUGCAUUUUGCCUGUCCACGCUUCCCGUUCACAUACCUCACGACGAUGGGAUUAACUUCUCGGGAUGUCUCACACGAACAAAAUCUACCUCAGCGAGCUGAGCUCACUUCUCUUGCAGCACAAUAACAGGGCAUGGCAGAUCUUAUUGCUUGCAGCCUCUUGGGACUUGCUGUUUACUGGUGGACAGGUUCUCGCGGUUAGGCGACCUCGGCUCUGGCUAACUAUUCAACUCUCGUUGCCUGCCACCGUAAUAUUCUCAUGCUAGCUAUGUGAAAGCGUCGGGUACCGACUGUUUCACCAAGCAGGAGUCGUAUUAAUUAUUUCAGCACAAACACAAAUACUUGAAAGAGGCUAUGAACCAGGGGCUGUCCAUCAUUCCCGUGGAAGUUGCAGUUGAGAUUAUAAAUCCAAUUGAUUAGAAUGGAAGAACUUUGCUCUCAUAGGAGUGAGAUAACGCAUUGUCGGAAAGGUGAUUUCUUCCGAGGAUAAACUGGGAUGUUGUCCCUGGUUAUUUCAUUCUCGCGCCAUAGCAGAUAUGACGAAGCCUUCGAUGACAAUCGGAACAAUGGCCUUUUUAUUUUUGUGUCAACUGCAGCUUGAGGCAUAGACCGAGGAAAAGAGAGAGAGUUGUCGGUGGGGAAAGGGACUGCAGCUGUUCUGUGAACGGAGAAGGAGACCGCAAUGGCUGCUAUAGCUCGGUGAGGAGGGACUCACAUCGAAAAAGCUUAGCUCGACCGUGUGUUGUCGGUUGGGAAGAGGAGCUCGACGACGAGCGGCCGGAGGUUACGGGCUCAGCUGUUGAGCUUGGAGGGAGGAGAACUCGUACGGACGAGGAGAUGAGAGGGAGAUCGAAGUUAAGAUUUCGAUGAUGUGUGCCAGUAUAGCUCGAAUGGCAGGAGGUCCCCCUUCCCCUCCUCUUGAUUUCUCUAGUGUUUCUUCUUGCCUGUGGUUCUUCUCUUGAAGAUGCGGGGGCCGCUAGUGUUAUUGGCACCAUAGAUCAAGGGAGACUAAGAGACGCAGCUGAUGGGGCUAUGGUGUCAUCGGAGAAUGGACGACCAGUAAGGGUGGAGCUCUACUAGUGGAUGCAUGUUUUAAGGGGGUCGGAUCUGAUAAAUUCCAGAAGCGACAAAGCACAGCCUUUUGUGCCUGUUCCCACAUAAGGCGCCAAAUGUUAGGGUGUAGAACCGAUGUCUUUGAGAUUCGAUCCAUGCUCCAAAUACAUGCAAAAGGGGAGAAUCGGGAGUGUUUCCCGAUUUCCUUUUCCGAUGAUCAAGUUAGCCUUUUCCGAUGAUCAAGUUAGCCGUUUGGGAUAGUACGUGUGUUCUUGAAUUAGUGAGAUGAAAGUAUAUAUAUGUGUGUGUGGUGAAAAAAUGAUAACCCUAGGACCUCCAUGAGUUGAACUCUCGAGAUCCCAUAACUUUAUUUUCGGGGCUUUAUUCUAGGUUCUCAACAAAAA